This 409-nucleotide long non-coding RNA is filed under the name Rosa chinensis. Its description in RNAcentral is "sRNA RchiOBHm_Chr5g0058581". The record is from RNAcentral. Lineage: Eukaryota; Viridiplantae; Streptophyta; Magnoliopsida; Rosales; Rosaceae.
GGCCCGAUCAGGAGCGGACGUCCGCACUUUCGCUAAAGUGCGGACGUCGAUGCAGCAGCGGCUUCCAGGCGGCGGCGGAGGCACAUGGAUGGCCGGAGGGAGGCCGGAGGCGUCCCAGACCUCUUCUGGGCCGCGUUCAAGGUCGGAGGAGGUCGGGCUUGCCGGUUUCUGGGCAGCCACCUCACCUGCAGUUGCAGGUUUUGUGCAGCACCCCAGAACCAUCGCCGGCGACUCCACCGGACCGCAGACCCCUCCGCACGACCCUCAGUGUCCCUCCGGCAAGCCAAGCCGCGCCGUCGCCGCUCGAUUGAGGCCGGAGGAGCGACGUCCGCACUUUUUCUGAGUUGCGGACGUCCGCUCCCGAACGGCUUUCUAUAUAUAUAUAUAUAUAUAUAUUUGGUUUGAUGUA